GUGGGGAAUAUUGGACAAUGGGCGAAAGCCUGAUCCAGCCAUGCCGCGUGUGUGAAGAAGGUCUUCGGAUUGUAAAGCACUUUAAGUUGGGAGGAAGGGCAGUAAGUUAAUACCUUGCUGUUUUGACGUUACCGACAGAAUAAGCACCGGCUAACUUCGUGCCAGCAGCCGCGGUAAUACGAAGGGUGCAAGCGUUAAUCGGAAUUACUGGGCGUAAAGCGCGCGUAGGUGGUUUUGUAAGUUGGAGGUGAAAUCCCCGAGCUCAACCUGGGAACUGCCUCCAAAACUGCAUGACUAGAGUACGGUAGAGGGUAGUGGAAUUUCCUGUGUAGCGGUGAAAUGCGUAGAUAUAGGAAGGAACACCAGUGGCGAAGGCGACUACCUGGACUGAUACUGACACUGAGGUGCGAAAGCGUGGGGAGCAAACAGGAUUAGAAACCCCUGUAGUCC
RNAcentral lists this ribosomal RNA (450 nucleotides) under uncultured bacterium. RNAcentral's name for it is "partial 16S ribosomal RNA". It matches the Rfam family "Bacterial small subunit ribosomal RNA", at positions 354 to 796 of the family's 1533-position model. The record is from RNAcentral.